This 491-nucleotide ribosomal RNA is filed under the name uncultured bacterium. Its description in RNAcentral is "bacterial SSU rRNA". It matches the Rfam family "Bacterial small subunit ribosomal RNA", at positions 15 to 518 of the family's 1533-position model. The record is from RNAcentral.
GAUCAUGGCUCGAGGACGAACGCUGGCGGCGUGCUUAAUACAUGCAAGUCGAACGGAGAUUAUGAUUCGGUGUAAUCUUAGUGGCGAACGGGUGAGUAACGCGUGAACAACCUGACUCAAAGAGGGGGAUAACAACGGGAAACUGUUGCUAAUACCGCAUAAGACCACAGAAUCGCAGUGGUUUAGGGGUCAAAGAUUUAUCGCUUUGAGAGGGGUUCGCGUCCCAUUAGGUAGUUGGAGGGGUAACGGCCCACCAAGCCGACGAUGGGUAGCCGAGCUGAGAGGCUGAUCGGCCACACUGGAACUGAGACACGGUCCAGACUCCUACGGGAGGCAGCAGUAGGGAAUAUUGGGCAAUGGGCGCAAGCCUCGACCCAGCAACGCCGCGUGAGGGAAGUAAGGUUUCGGAUUGUAAACCUCUGUCCUAUGUGACGAAGGAAGUGACGGUAGCAUAGGAGGAACGCCCCGGCUAACUACGUGCCAGCAGCGGC